CGCGAAGCCAGCUACAUUGGAUUUCCAACAUCCUUAGACCUUUACCACUGAGCUCUCUGCACACCAGAAUGUUCCUGCACGUCACAGUUAGUGUGUGACAACAAUCAGUCAGGGAAAUCUGAAAUAAAGUCUUCACAGCGAAUCAGAUAAGCUUGCCUUCUUUAGAGAACCAUGGAGGUGGCGAAGCAGCUAAGGUGGAGAAGGAACAGAAAAGAUCAUUCAUGCAGGGAAAACCAACUUCCAUGCCUUGUAGACACUAAGGCAGCCCUGAGGAGAGGUCUAUAUAACAAGAAAUCAAGACCCCCCCCAGCCAACAGCCAGUGUUGCUCGAUGAGGAGUCCAGAAACCUGGCCACAGGAAGAAUAGUUGCAAGUACUGGAAAUGUUUAACAUAGAAAAAAGAAGGUUCGGCAUGGGCAAAGUAUCUUCAGCCAGGGUGAAUCUCAGACGCAUGGUGUAUCUGCCUACCUCCAGA
RNAcentral lists this long non-coding RNA (474 nucleotides) under Equus caballus (horse). RNAcentral describes it as "lncRNA (ENSECAG00000047409.1)". Lineage: Eukaryota; Metazoa; Chordata; Mammalia; Perissodactyla; Equidae. The record is from RNAcentral.